Canis lupus familiaris (dog) is the source of this 1970-nucleotide long non-coding RNA. RefSeq lists it as uncharacterized. The transcript is spliced from 3 exons. The record is from RefSeq and is a predicted model, not a curated record. Lineage: Eukaryota; Metazoa; Chordata; Mammalia; Carnivora; Canidae.
CCUCCUGGCAGGUGCUGGAGCUCCUCUAAGCACCGUGCCUGCUGCCUGCAGCAAGAAAGAAAGAGAGCGGAAGCCCAAGGAGUCGGCCCGGACUGGCUGGUCUCACAUUACUGUCAGCAGUGGCCUGUCAACCGCUUAUUUAAAGCUCACAAUGUCUGCUCUUGUUGCACAGACAGACCUGCCAUUAGGAGCUUUCCAGACCAAACCUCGGCUGCUCUGGAGAACAGUAAUUAAAUCAGCAGACCACGAUGUCUGCUUUCUGUUCUUUUCACACCUGUCUGCCAACAGCUGGCUUACUGGGUACAAGGAAGAUCUUGGCAGGGCCCAGACUGCAGCUGGGGGAGCCCCUGGACAGUGUGUCCUGGGUUUAGAGCACCAGGAGUGGAAAGGAGAAGCCUCCAGGCUGCCAGGGGCUCAUCUGAAUGGAGGGUCAUCAGGUCAUUCAUACAACCUUCUGCCCUGCCCCUGUACCUCUUCUCAUCAACAAACAUUAAGGAGAAGCGAGAGCUGCUCUGCCCUUGUUCUUGAAGCAAGCCCUUUUGCUUAGGAAGCAAAGCCCUUUGGAAAGCUGGUGUUUCUGUCAAUGAUGCUUACAAAGCAGGUGAGUGGAGGCGGCUUCUGGCUGAGAGCCUGGGGUAGGUACUGCUCUAGCAAUGUCAGCUGAGCGUCCUCAGGCUUGUCACCUCUAAUAUGAGGGUGUUUUACUUGAUGAACUCUUUGAUCUUUUCUAGAUCCUAUUUUAAAUACUUUUCCAAGUACCUCAGCACUAUCCAAUAGAAGUUUCUGCAAUGGUGGGAAAGCUCACUAAAGCUUUGCUGUCUGAUAGUGGCAGCCAGUGGCCCCACGUGGCCACUGGGCAUGUGAAAUGUGCCUAGGGCAGGCAAGCCACAUUAUUUCAUUUAUUUUAAUGAAUUAAACUUUAUUAUUAAAAACUAUUAAAAUUAUUAUUGUUAUAAUUAUUUUAAUUAAUUUAAAUGUAAGCAGCCACAUAGCUUUCUAAGCUACCAUAUUAGAAAACACAGAUCUAGGAAGCCAGAUUCUAUCUUUAAAACCAUGGGUUGGGUCAAAUUCUGUCUGAAAAUUAUACCACAAAUCCACUCAGUUCUCUCAUUUCCAUUUUCUACCUUAAGCCGAACCACUAACAUUGCUUUCUCCUUGGUUUCUCUUCUCCCACUUUCACCGCCUAUAAUACUUUUGCCCCAGCCCAGAGCAAACUUCUUAAGACAUAAAGAAUAGGUAAAUAAAAUAUUUUUUUAAAAAAAGACAUAAAAUUGGCCAAGGUAUUCCUCUUCUCAAAAACCUCAACAUCCCUAUUGCAGUAAACCUGAAAAUCCACCUGAGGCCUGCAGGUGCUCGUACUCUGAAUGCCACUCCCUUCUGGCCUCACCUGGCUCUUCAUUGUACCUAACACUUUAGGUUUCUGGAAGCUGCCAAACCCUUAUUGAGCUCAGGUGCUUUGCAUAAACUUUCCCUUGGUUAUAGAGCUGUGCUGUUCAAUACAAUGGCCACUGGAUACACGUGGCUCUCUGCUUAUCUAUAUUUAAGUUAAUAAAAAUUAAAUAAAAUUAGAAAUUCAGUUCCUUGGUCACACUAGACACUUUUCAAGUGCUCCAUAGUCACAGGUGGCUUGAGGCUACAUGUUGGAUUGCACAAAUAUGAAAUAUUUCCAUGCUCAUAGAAAAUUCCUUUGGAUAGUGCAGUUCUGGAACAUUCUUCCCCACACUCCAGCUAGACUAAUUCCUAUCCAUCUUUCAAGUCUCAGCUCAAAUAUCACAUUCUCACAGAGGCCUUUUCUAGUCCUUCAGUCUAAAUGAAGAACUCCUGCUGUCUUUCUUAUAAAGCUUGCAAUUUUCCUUUCUUAUUCUUACAACGAAAAAGAAUACAAAGUCGCAAUUAUGCACAUGGUUGCCUAUUGUGUGUAUUUUCUAUCAAAGUCUCAGAAAAGGACACCGGGGUGGCUCAGCGGCUGA